This 482-nucleotide ribosomal RNA is filed under the name uncultured bacterium. RNAcentral describes it as "partial 16S ribosomal RNA". It matches the Rfam family "Bacterial small subunit ribosomal RNA", at positions 30 to 507 of the family's 1533-position model. The record is from RNAcentral.
AUUGAACGCUGGCGGCAUGCCUUACACAUGCAAGUCGAACGGUAACAGGUCUUCGGAUGCUGACGAGUGGCGAACGGGUGAGUAAUACAUCGGAACGUGCCCGAUCGUGGGGGAUAACGAGGCGAAAGCUUUGCUAAUACCGCAUACGAUCUACGGAUGAAAGCGGGGGAUCUUCGGACCUCGCGCGGACGGAGCGGCCGAUGGCAGAUUAGGUAGUUGGUGGGAUAAAAGCUUACCAAGCCGACGAUCUGUAGCUGGUCUGAGAGGAUGAUCAGCCACACUGGGACUGAGACACGGCCCAGACUCCUACGGGAGGCAGCAGUGGGGAAUUUUGGACAAAGGGCGAAAGCCUGAUCCAGCCAUGCCGCGUGCAGGAUGAAGGCCUUUGGGUUGUAAACUGCUUUUGUACGGAACGAAAAGCCUCUUUCUAAUAAAGAGGGGUCAUGACGGUACCGUAAGAAUAAGCACCGGCUAACUACGUG